This 789-nucleotide ribosomal RNA is filed under the name uncultured bacterium. Its description in RNAcentral is "bacterial SSU rRNA". It matches the Rfam family "Bacterial small subunit ribosomal RNA", at positions 56 to 859 of the family's 1533-position model. The record is from RNAcentral.
UGCAAGUCGAACGGUAACAGAGAGAAGCUUGCUUCUCUGCUGACGAGUGGCGCACGGGUGAGUAAUAUAUAGGUAAUGUGCCCCUUGGACCGGGAUAGCCACUGGAAACGGUGAUUAAUACUGGAUACUCCUUUUAGUCAUAAGACUAAUCGGGAAAUGGAUUCCGCCAAGGGAUCGGCCUAUAUCCUAUCAGCUAGUUGGUGAGGUAAGAGCUCACCAAGGCGAUGACGGGUAGCGGGUUUGAGAGGAUGAUCCGCCACACUGGUACUGAGACACGGACCAGACUCCUACGGGAGGCAGCAGUGAGGAAUAUUGCACAAUGGGGGAAACCCUGAUGCAGCAACGCCGCGUGGAGGAUGACGCAUUUCGGUGUGUAAACUCCUUUUAUAUGUCAAGAAAAUGACGGUAGCAUAUGAAUAAGCACCGGCUAACUCCGUGCCAGCAGCCGCGGUAAUACGGAGGGUGCAAGCGUUAUUCGGAAUCACUGGGCGUAAAGGACGCGUAGGCGGGGUGGAAAGUCAGGUGUGAAAGCCUACAGCUUAACUGUAGAACUGCACUUGAAACUCUCACCCUAGAGUAUGGGAGGGGCAGAUGGAAUUAGUGGUGUAGGGGUAAAAUCCGUAGAUAUCACUAGGAAUACCGAAAGCGAAGGCGAUCUGCUGGAACAUAACUGACGCUAAGGCGUGAAAGCGUGGGGAGCAAACAGGAUUAGAUACCCUGGUAGUCCACGCCCUAACGAUGAACACUAGUCGUCGGGAUGCUCGUCAUCUCGGUGAUGCACUUAACAGA